UAGGGAAUCUUCCACAAUGGGCGCAAGCCUGAUGGAGCAACACCGCGUGAGUGAAGAAGGGUUUCGGCUCGUAAAGCUCUGUUGUUAAAGAAGAACGUGGGUAAGAGUAACUGUUUACCCAGUGACGGUAUUUAACCAGGAAGCCACGGCUAACUACGUGCCAG
This 164-nucleotide ribosomal RNA is filed under the name uncultured bacterium. RNAcentral's name for it is "partial 16S ribosomal RNA". It matches the Rfam family "Bacterial small subunit ribosomal RNA", at positions 355 to 511 of the family's 1533-position model. The record is from RNAcentral.